UGGGGAAUUUUGCGCAAUGGGCGAAAGCCUGACGCAGCAACGCCGCGUGCGGGAUGAAGGCCUUCGGGUUGUAAACCGCUUUCAGCAGGGAUGAAACUGACAGUACCUGCAGAAGAAGCCCCGGCUAACUACGUGCCAGCAGCCGCGGUAAUACGUAGGGGGCGAGCGUUAUCCGGAUUCAUUGGGCGUAAAGAGCGCGUAGGCGGCUUGUUAAGCGAGAUGUGAAAACCGGGGGCUUAACCCGCGGCCUGCAUCUCGAACUGGCAGGCUUGAGUCUGGUAGAGGAGUGUGGAAUUCCCAGUGUAGCGGUGAAAUGCGCAGAUAUUGGGAGGAACACCAGUGGCGAAGGCGGCACUCUGGGCCACGACUGACGCUGAGGCGCGAAAGCUAGGGGAGCAAACAGG
RNAcentral lists this ribosomal RNA (404 nucleotides) under uncultured bacterium. Its description in RNAcentral is "bacterial SSU rRNA". It matches the Rfam family "Bacterial small subunit ribosomal RNA", at positions 355 to 776 of the family's 1533-position model. The record is from RNAcentral.